This 453-nucleotide ribosomal RNA is filed under the name uncultured bacterium. Its description in RNAcentral is "bacterial SSU rRNA". It matches the Rfam family "Bacterial small subunit ribosomal RNA", at positions 28 to 490 of the family's 1533-position model. The record is from RNAcentral.
GACGAACGCUGGCGGCGUGCCUAACACAUGCAAGUCGAACGAGGUCCAGGGAAGCUUGCUUCCUGAAGACCUAGUGGCGAACGGGUGAGUAACACGUGAGAAACCUGCCUCGGAGUGGGGAAUAACUCGGGGAAACUCGAGCUAAUACCGCAUACCUUCACAUGAUCGCAUGGUCGAGUGAAGAAAGAAUUUCGCUCUGAGAGGGUCUCGCGGCCUAUCAGCUUGUUGGUGGGGUAACGGCCUACCAAGGCAACGACGGGUAGCUGGUUUGAGAGAACGAUCAGCCACACUGGGACUGAGACACGGCCCAGACUCCUACGGGAGGCAGCAGUGGGGAAUCUUGCGCAAUGGGCGAAAGCCUGACGCAGCAACGCCGCGUGCGGGAUGACGGCCUUCGUGGUUGUAAACCGCGUUUCUAGCAGGGACGAAAAUAGACGGUACCUGCAGAAGAAG